GAUUGGGGCACAAUGGGGGUCAAUGGGGCACAAUGGGGUCAAUGUGGGGCACAAUGGGGUCAGUGGGGCACAAUGGGGUCAGAUGUGCGGCACAAUGGGGUCAAUGGGGCACAAUGGUGUCAAUGUGGGGCCCAUAACCAAUGACCCCCAUGGCCCCAUUGCCCCCAUUGACUCACCACGAUACGGAACGGUGAGUUGGGGACGUGCUGCCCCCCAAACCGCACAAUGGAGUCAGAUGUGGGCACGGGAUGGGGUCAGAUAUGUGGGUCGAGCAAUUUGGGUCAGUGGGCGCCCAGAGUGGGAUCAAUGUGGGCAGCAU
This 319-nucleotide long non-coding RNA is filed under the name Coturnix japonica (Japanese quail). RNAcentral describes it as "lncRNA (ENSCJPG00005002668.1)". The record is from RNAcentral. Lineage: Eukaryota; Metazoa; Chordata; Aves; Galliformes; Phasianidae.